ACAGCUUUCCAGCAGACAUGCAUCACCUGCAGCCCACGUCAAACUAACUCCACUUGGCGUUCUCUGGCCCGGAUACGUUCUGCUGAUUCGACAGACAAGCUUUCUGAAUGAUAGUGUGGAGGGGGGCGUGGCCUGCGGGCCUGCCGCGGUACGGAGUGUGCAAGGACCGGCCUCGAAGACAGCGACAGCAGCCGGAACGAGACACAGGGUUGAAGUUGGAGUGGGAGCCAGAGAGAGAGAGAGACACAGG
Molecule: long non-coding RNA, 250 nt
Organism: Entelurus aequoreus (snake pipefish)
Lineage: Eukaryota; Metazoa; Chordata; Actinopteri; Syngnathiformes; Syngnathidae
Exons: 3
Source: RefSeq, a predicted model, not a curated record